ACCUGGGUGGCUCAGUUGGUUGAGUGUCUGACUUCAGCUCAGGUAAUGAUCUCACGGUUCGUGGGUUCGAGCCCCACGUUGGGCU
RNAcentral lists this transfer RNA (85 nucleotides) under Felis catus (domestic cat). It matches the Rfam family "tRNA". Rfam says of the family: Transfer RNA (tRNA) molecules are approximately 80 nucleotides in length. Their secondary structure includes four short double-helical elements and three loops (D, anti-codon, and T loops). The record is from Rfam by way of RNAcentral. Lineage: Eukaryota; Metazoa; Chordata; Mammalia; Carnivora; Felidae.